This 253-nucleotide ribosomal RNA is filed under the name uncultured bacterium. RNAcentral's name for it is "partial 16S ribosomal RNA". It matches the Rfam family "Bacterial small subunit ribosomal RNA", at positions 524 to 776 of the family's 1533-position model. The record is from RNAcentral.
UACAGAGGGGGCAAGCGUUAUUCGGAAUUAUUGGGCGUAAAGGGCGCGUAGGCGGCCUGGCAAGUGGAAGGUGAAAUCCCUCGGCUUAACCGAGGAACUGCCCUCCAAACUGCUUGGCUUGAGUCCGGGAGAGGUGAGUGGAAUUCCCAGUGUAGCGGUGAAAUGCGUAGAUAUUGGGAAGAACACCAGUGGCGAAGGCGGCUCACUGGCUCGUAACUGACGCUCAGGCGCGACAGCGUGGGGAUCAAACAGG